Molecule: microRNA precursor, 101 nt
Filed under: Arabidopsis halleri subsp. gemmifera
Lineage: Eukaryota; Viridiplantae; Streptophyta; Magnoliopsida; Brassicales; Brassicaceae
Description: pre miRNA MIR158
Rfam family: MIR158 microRNA precursor family
Source: RNAcentral
ACACGUGAUCUCUGUGCCUCUUUGUCUACAGUUUUGGAAAAAGUAAUGUCGCCAUUGUUUUUUUCCCAAAUGUAGACAAAGCGAUGCCGUGAUGACGUUAU